UACACUCCUGCGGGAGGCAGCAGUGGGGAAUUUUGGACAAUGGGCGAAAGCCUGAUCCAGCAAUGCCGCGUGUGUGAAGAAGGCCUUCGGGUUGUAAAGCACUUUUGUCCGGAAAGAAAUCCUUGGCUCUAAUACAGUCGGGGGAUGACGGUACCGGAAGAAUAAGCACCGGCUAACUACGUGCCAGCAGCCGCGGUAAUACGUAGGGUGCGAGCGUUAAUCGGAAUUACUGGGCGUAAAGCGUGCGCAGGCGGUUUGCUAAGACCGAUGUGAAAUCCCCGGGCUCAACCUGGGAACUGCAUUGGUGACUGGCAGGCUAGAGUAUGGCAGAGGGGGGUAGAAUUCCACGUGUAGCAGUGAAAUGCGUAGAGAUGUGGAGGAAUACCGAUGGCGAAGGCAGCCCCCUGGGCCAAUACUGACGCUCAUGCACGAAAGCGUGGGGAGCAAACAGGAUUAGAAACCCUUGUAGUCC
RNAcentral lists this ribosomal RNA (472 nucleotides) under uncultured organism. RNAcentral's name for it is "partial 16S ribosomal RNA". It matches the Rfam family "Bacterial small subunit ribosomal RNA", at positions 332 to 796 of the family's 1533-position model. The record is from RNAcentral.